GUCUACGGCCGUGCCACUCUGAACAAGCCUGAUGUCUGAUCUCGGAAGCUAAGCAGGGUCGGGCCUGGUUAGUACUUGGAUGGGAGACCACCUAGGAAGAUCAGGUGCUGUAGGCA
Molecule: ribosomal RNA, 116 nt
Filed under: Pteropus alecto (black flying fox)
Lineage: Eukaryota; Metazoa; Chordata; Mammalia; Chiroptera; Pteropodidae
Also listed under: 1 other name
Source: RNAcentral